RNAcentral lists this ribosomal RNA (504 nucleotides) under uncultured bacterium. Its description in RNAcentral is "partial 16S ribosomal RNA". It matches the Rfam family "Bacterial small subunit ribosomal RNA", at positions 30 to 523 of the family's 1533-position model. The record is from RNAcentral.
AUUGAACGCUAGCGGCAUGCUUAACACAUGCAAGUCGAACGGUAACAGGCCUAGCUUGCUAGGUGCUGACGAGUGGCGGACGGGUGAGUAACGCGUAGGAAUCUACCUAGUAGUGGGGGAUAACCUGGGGAAACCCAGGCUAAUACCGCAUAAGCCCUAAGGGGCAAAGCAGGGGACCGUAAGGCCUUGUGCUAUUAGAUGAGCCUGCGUCAGAUUAGCUAGUUGGUGGGGUAAAGGCCUACCAAGGCGAUGAUCUGUAGCUGGUCUGAGAGGACGACCAGCCACACUGGGACUGAGACACGGCCCAGACUCCUACGGGAGGCAGCAGUGGGGAAUAUUGGACAAUGGGCGCAAGCCUGAUCCAGCAAUGCCGCGUGUGUGAAGAAGGCCUGCGGGUUGUAAAGCACUUUUAGUGGGGAGGAAGGCCUCAAUAUUAAUACUAUUGAGGAUUGACGUUACCCACAGAAGAAGCACCGGCUAACUCUGUGCCAGCCGCCGCCGUAA